This 492-nucleotide ribosomal RNA is filed under the name uncultured Pleosporales. Its description in RNAcentral is "eukaryotic LSU rRNA". The stretch from base 153 to 306 matches the Rfam family "5.8S ribosomal RNA". The record is from RNAcentral. Lineage: Eukaryota; Fungi; Ascomycota; Dothideomycetes; Pleosporales.
CAUUACUGAGUGAGGGCCUUCUGGUCCGACCUCCAACCCCAUGUUAUCCGACACUGUUGCCUCCGGGGCGACCCGGCCUUCGGGCGUCGGGGCCCCGGGUGGACCAUUCAAACACUGCAUCUUUGCGUCUGAGUACACGAUUGAUCAAUCAAAACUUUCAACAACGGAUCUCUUGGUUCUGGCAUCGAUGAAGAACGCAGCGAAAUGCGAUAAGUAAUGUGAAUUGCAGAAUUCAGUGAAUCAUCGAAUCUUUGAACGCACAUUGCGCCCCUUGGUAUUCCGAGGGGCAUGCCUGUUCGAGCGUCAUUUCACCACUCAAGCCUGGCUUGGUAUUGGGCGCCGCGGUCCGCCGCGCGCCUUAAUGUGUCCGGCUGAGCCGUCCGUCUCUAAGCGUUGUGGCAACCUAUCCGCUUGCGAGAUCGGGGGGCGUCUGGCCGUUAAACUCAUCCAAAGGUUGACCUCGGAUCAGGUAGGGAUACCCGCUGAACUUAA